RNAcentral lists this ribosomal RNA (446 nucleotides) under uncultured bacterium. RNAcentral describes it as "bacterial SSU rRNA". It matches the Rfam family "Bacterial small subunit ribosomal RNA", at positions 330 to 792 of the family's 1533-position model. The record is from RNAcentral.
CCCAGACUCCUACGGGAGGCAGCAGUGGGGGAUAUUGCACAAUGGGGGAAACCCUGAUGCAGCGACGCCGCGUGGGUGAAGAAGUAUUUCGGUAUGUAAAGCCCUAUCAGCAGGGAAGAAAGAAGACGGUACCUGACUAAGAAGCCCCGGCUAACUACGUGCCAGCAGCCGCGGUAAUACGUAGGGGGCGAGCGUUAUCCGGAUUCACUGGGUGUAAAGGGAGCGUAGACGGCCGUGCAAGCCAGGAGUGAAAGCCCGGGGCCCAACCCCGGGACUGCCCUUGGAACUGUGCGGCUGGAGUGCGGGAGGGGCAGGCGGAAUUCCUGGUGUAGCGGUGAAAUGCGUAGAUAUCAGGAGGAACACCGGCGGCGAAGGCGGCCUGCUGGACCGCGACUGACGUUGAGGCUCGAAAGCGUGGGGAGCGAACAGGAUUAGAUACCCCUGUA